CCUACGGGAGGCAGCAGUGGGGAAUUUUGGACAAUGGGGGCAACCCUGAUCCAGCCAUGCCGCGUGCAGGAUGAAGGCCUUCGGGUUGUAAACUGCUUUUGUCAGGGACGAAAAGGACCGUGUUAAUACCAUGGUCUGCUGACGGUACCUGAAGAAUAAGCACCGGCUAACUACGUGCCAGCAGCCGCGGUAAUACGUAGGGUGCAAGCGUUAAUCGGAAUUACUGGGCGUAAAGCGUGCGCAGGCGGUCUGUCAAGUCGGAUGUGAAAUCCCCGGGCUCAACCUGGGAACUGCAUUCGAAACUGGCAGGCUGGAGUCUUGUAGAGGGGGGUAGAAUUCCAGGUGUAGCGGUGAAAUGCGUAGAUAUUUGGAAGAACACCAAUGGCGAAGGCAGCCCCCUGGGAUGCGACUGACGCUCAUGCAC
This 424-nucleotide ribosomal RNA is filed under the name uncultured Bacteroides sp. Its description in RNAcentral is "bacterial SSU rRNA". It matches the Rfam family "Bacterial small subunit ribosomal RNA", at positions 338 to 754 of the family's 1533-position model. The record is from RNAcentral. Lineage: Bacteria; Pseudomonadati; Bacteroidota; Bacteroidia; Bacteroidales; Bacteroidaceae.